UCGUAUUUCAUUGUCAGAGGUGAAAUUCUUGGAUUUAUGGAAGACGAACCACUGCGAAAGCAUUUGCCAAGGAUGUUUUCAUUAAUCAAGAACGAAAGUUGGGGGCUCGAAGACGAUCAGAUACCGUCCUAGUCUCAACCAUAAACGAUGCCGACCAGGGAUCGGCGGAUGUUGCUCUAAGGACUCCGCCAGCACCUUCUGAGAAAUCAGAGUGUUUGGGUUCCGGGGGGAGUAUGGUCGCAAGGCUGAAACUUAAA
This 257-nucleotide ribosomal RNA is filed under the name Tryblionella compressa. RNAcentral's name for it is "partial Eukaryotic small subunit ribosomal RNA". It matches the Rfam family "Eukaryotic small subunit ribosomal RNA", at positions 892 to 1148 of the family's 1831-position model. The record is from RNAcentral. Lineage: Eukaryota; Bacillariophyta; Bacillariophyceae; Bacillariales; Bacillariaceae.